Molecule: ribosomal RNA, 503 nt
Filed under: uncultured bacterium
Lineage: Bacteria
Description: partial 16S ribosomal RNA
Rfam family: Bacterial small subunit ribosomal RNA
Source: RNAcentral
AACGAACGCUGGCGGCGUGUUUAAGACAUGCAAGUCGCACGGGAUAAGACAUGUAGUAAUACUUGUUUUAUUUAGUGGCGCACGGGUGAGUAACACGUGAAUUACAUGCCCUAUAGUGGGGAAUAGCCCAGGGAAACUUGGAUUAAUACCCCAUGGUAUCGAAAGAUUAAAGGUGGCGGCAAGGCUGUCGCUAUAGGAUUGGUUCGCGCCCUAUCAGCUUGUUGGUGAGGUAACGGCUCACCAAGGCAAUGACGGGUACCUGGUCUGAGAGGACGAUCAGGCACACGAGAACUGAGACACGGUCCAGACACCUACGGGGGGCAGCAGUCGAGAAUAAUGCACAAUGGGGGCAGCCCUGAUGGUGCAACGCCGCGUGGAGGAUGACGGUCUUCGGAUUGUAAACUCCUGUCAUCUGGGAGAAAGACCUGACGGUAAAUAGCCGGCAGGGUUGAUAGUACCAGAAGAGGAAGGGACGGCUAACUUCGUGCCAGCCGCCGCGGUAA